Molecule: non-coding RNA, 92 nt
Organism: Acanthosepion pharaonis
Lineage: Eukaryota; Metazoa; Mollusca; Cephalopoda; Sepiida; Sepiidae
Source: the annotation of a GenBank genome assembly
GCGGAAACACCGGUUCCCCUACAAUCACUGAAGGUAAGCAACGUCGAGCUUAGUCAGUACUUGGAUUGAUGACCAUUUGGGAAUACCAGAUG